AACGAACGCUGGCGGCAGGCCUAACACAUGCAAGUCGAGCGAGGACUUCGGUUCUAGCGGCGGACGGGUGAGUAACGCGUGGGAAUGUGCCCUUCUCUACGGAAUAGCCCUGGGAAACUGGGAGUAAUACCGUAUACGCCCUUUUGGGGAAAGAUUUAUCGGAGAAGGAUCAGCCCGCGUUGGAUUAGGUAGUUGGUGGGGUAAUGGCCUACCAAGCCGACGAUCCAUAGCUGGUUUGAGAGGAUGAUCAGCCACACUGGGACUGAGACACGGCCCAGACUCCUACGGGAGGCAGCAGUGGGGAAUCUUAGACAAUGGGGGCAACCCUGAUCUAGCCAUGCCGCGUGAGUGAUGAAGGCCUUAGGGUUGUAAAGCUCUUUUAGCUGGGAAGAUAAUGACGGUACCAGCAGAAGAAGCCCCGGCUAACUCCGUG
RNAcentral lists this ribosomal RNA (433 nucleotides) under uncultured bacterium. RNAcentral describes it as "partial 16S ribosomal RNA". It matches the Rfam family "Bacterial small subunit ribosomal RNA", at positions 29 to 507 of the family's 1533-position model. The record is from RNAcentral.